UACAGAGGUCUCAAGCGUUGUUCGGAUUCAUUGGGCGUAAAGGGUGCGUAGGCGGCGCGGUAAGUCGGAUGUGAAAUUUCGGAGCUUAACUCCGAAACUGCAUUCGAUACUGCGGUGCUUGAGGACUGGAGAGGAGACUGGAAUUCAUGGUGUAGCAGUGAAAUGCGUAGAGAUCAUGAGGAAGACCAGUGGCGAAGGCGGGUCUCUGGACAGUUCCUGACACUGAGGCACGAAGGCCAGGGGAGCAAACGGG
Molecule: ribosomal RNA, 253 nt
Filed under: uncultured bacterium
Lineage: Bacteria
Description: partial 16S ribosomal RNA
Rfam family: Bacterial small subunit ribosomal RNA
Source: RNAcentral